AGCGAACGCUGGCGGCAGGCUUAACACAUGCAAGUCGAGCGGGCACUUCGGUGUCAGCGGCAGACGGGUGAGUAACACGUGGGAACGUACCCUUUGGUUCGGAAUAACGCUGGGAAACUAGCGCUAAUACCGGAUACGCCCUUUUGGGGAAAGGCUUGCUGCCGAAGGAUCGGCCCGCGUCUGAUUAGCUAGUUGGUGGGGUAAUGGCCUACCAAGGCGACGAUCAGUAGCUGGUCUGAGAGGAUGAUCAGCCACACUGGGACUGAGACACGGCCCAGACUCCUACGGGAGGCAGCAGUGGGGAAUAUUGGACAAUGGGCGCAAGCCUGAUCCAGCCAGGCCGCGUGAGUGAUGAAGGCCUUAGGGUUGUAAAGCUCUUUUGUCCGGGACGAUAAUGACGGUACCGGAAGAAUAAGCCCCGGCUAACUUCGU
RNAcentral lists this ribosomal RNA (432 nucleotides) under uncultured bacterium. RNAcentral's name for it is "partial 16S ribosomal RNA". It matches the Rfam family "Bacterial small subunit ribosomal RNA", at positions 29 to 506 of the family's 1533-position model. The record is from RNAcentral.